RNAcentral lists this ribosomal RNA (104 nucleotides) under Rahnella victoriana. RNAcentral's name for it is "partial 23S ribosomal RNA". It matches the Rfam family "Bacterial large subunit ribosomal RNA", at positions 2822 to 2925 of the family's 2925-position model. The record is from RNAcentral. Lineage: Bacteria; Pseudomonadati; Pseudomonadota; Gammaproteobacteria; Enterobacterales; Yersiniaceae.
GCCACCUGAAGGGACGUUUAAGACUAAGACGUUGAUAGGCUGGGUGUGUAAGUGCAGCGAUGCAUUGAGCUAACCAGUACUAAUGACCCGAGAGGCUUAACCUU